RNAcentral lists this long non-coding RNA (331 nucleotides) under Elaeis guineensis (African oil palm). Its description in RNAcentral is "long non-coding RNA (EGUI_LNC009161)". The record is from RNAcentral. Lineage: Eukaryota; Viridiplantae; Streptophyta; Magnoliopsida; Arecales; Arecaceae.
ACCUGAGGCUAUCUUGAUGACUUGCAAGCAACUCAUUGUGCUUUGGUAUCGGACUAUCUAAAUUUUUAAUUCGAUGGCGGAAGAUUUUUGAGUACAGUCAAGUACUUGUGAAGUCUGAGUGUGAGUCAAGAUGGGAUUGACCGCUUCAAGUAAAAUUAGAGAUGAUGCAUCAUUGUGUUUCAAUUUAGCAAAAUUUUGACCAAAGUAAUCUUAGUAAAGAGUCACAAAAUUUUGGAGGUUAAGACACAAUGUGAAUCACUCAUCCUGGGUUGAUAGUUUAACCCGAAGUCAUCCUUGAGCAUUGAGUGUCAAAGGGAUAAAUUAUACGGUA